ACUGUUUUUCAUGCAUCACUAUUUAACUUUUUAUGAAUAUUGAACUUGGGCCAUCCACUUACCAGUUGAUAGGCACUUGCGUUAUUUCCAACCUGGGGCUUUUAUGAAAAAAAAUGUUUCUGAAAGAGUUUCUAGAAAUAACUGCCUGUAUGGACACGCCCUCGGUUCUCUUCCACAGAUCGCUAGGCUUGUGUGGUGAGUUCAUGUUUAAAUAUUAGACGGUCAUUUCCCCUGCUUCCCGAGUCCCUUCAUUCCCUGUGGCUCUGCUUGGGAGCUUUGUUCUCCUGGCCCGAUGAGGGAGGCCAUUGUUCCCUUGAAAUGAGAGCAGCUGAUCUCACAGGUAGCCUUAUAAGAUUGGGCAGAUUAGCAUCUCCUCCUGGACUUUGGAGGGAUCAUGAGGCAGGGCUGCCUUCUUGAGGAGGUGGUAGCUGCUUGACCCCCCAACUAUUGUGACAAGACAAGGCUAAGGUAAGCUGGGGCUCUUCUGUCUGAGGGCCGAGAAUCUGUGGCAAAUCCCAGGUGGCUGUCUUGUAUGUGGUACGGAGUGGGCGGCCUCUGUGGUGCAUAAAGUCAGUCAGGUGAGUAGAGAGCCACUUCAACCGCUGAUGGUCUAGAGAGAGUAUUGUGGUCCUUGAGAGUAGCACAUCCAAAUGGGCUACCCUGGGCUAGCGAGCGGCUGUGGCACCGAUUGCAUUGCCUCUGUCACUGGUGAUAAGACGUGCAACUGAGGGCCGGCUGACUGUGCAGGAAAAACCCGCUUCCAUAAGGGAGGAAUUUAAAAAGAAAACCACAAAGAUGCUGUCCUCUGUGAACCUCUGAACUGGCAACCCCGUCCACCCCCACCCCCAAACUAAACUGGAGUUGGGGGUGUGGGAGUGAGGGAAAGAGUACAAAUCAGGUCUAUGUUAAAAUUCUGGGAUCCCAAAACUUGGAAUUUAAAGAAUAAUCAGAGAGAGGAAGGAGAAAUAACAAGAUAUCCCUUAGGCCCAACCUUACUACACAGGAAAAGGGAACUCUGCAGUUCAGCACACGGAAGGGGGUUGUCAUAAUGGCUCCGUGUUAGAACCCGGCUGAGGACUCUGCCUCUGAACUGCUUGAAUUAGAGAACUGACAAACUUGUUUCAAAAAAGUUAUCACUGGGCCCCUGAUCCGUCUUAUUGUUACCUUUUGCUCAGCCAGAUACAAACGAGAGUCACCUGGGAAGAGGGACCCUCUAGGCAAGUCUCUAGAGCAUUUUCUUGAUUAAUGACUGAUAUGGGCGGGCCCAGCCCCAUGUGGGCGGUGCCAUCCUUGGGCAGGCCAUCCGGAAUUGUGUAAGAAAGCUGGCUGAGAGCUGGGAGAUGGCUGAGCCUGAAGGGCUAAGCUCACAGCCAGAAAAGACAAAGACUGAGGGAGCCAAAUACCUUCUUUAGACUAGAAAGCGGCCUGUCCCCAGGUCAGAGAUGCAUUGUAAGAGGAAUUUGGAAGCUGGCCCCCCGAGAAGAAAGCCCACUGGAGCCCUGCUCAGGGCAGUGGAAGGAAAGGCCACCUGGCUAACAUGAGCCAGGAGUUUUACUCUGCCAAGAAAAUUGAAAGCGUGCACACGAAAAGCUGUAUGUGAAUGUUCGUGACAGUCACAAGACGGAAAUGACCCAAGUGUCCAUCACUAGUAGAUGGGUAAGUCAGACAUGGUAUCAGUCACACAACAGCCCUCUGCUUGGCAGUGAGGGAUGUGGCAUGGAUGAACAGUCACAAAUGCAUACAGACACAGAGACAGACAGACAGAUGGACAGACAGACAGACACAGAGACAGGUAGACAGGGUUAAGAGUUUUGUGUAUUUGAGACCUUCUCAAGAGUCCGUAGCCCUGGUCGUCCCGUUAGUCGUUCUGUGGUCCGUGCUGGCCUCAACGCUGGUCGCACUCCUGCUUCAGCUUCCUGAGUGCACACGGAAGGGGGUCGUCAUAAUGGCUUGGUGUUAGAGGUGUUAGCCACCGUGCCCGCUCCUGGCAAGGAUAUCUCAAAGUUAUUCACAUCACUGUGAUGCCUGCACUAGGGGAUCUGCAAACAGGCAGAAGGGGCAAGGCACACUCCAGGACUGAGGAUUGGACAGGGGGUGCUGCUAGGGCACGCCACAGCUACCCUGCCACAGGGGCAGACAAGUGCAGCUGAUUACCUGCUGGCUAGAGUGGAGGCAGGGCUUGUGAACAGAAGGUAGAGGGUGGCCUGGGGGUAGGGGUUCCUUUCUUCUCUGGCUCUGGGCAAACACACUGUGGCCAGGACAUGGUCAAGAGGCCCUCAAGGACUACUGGGCGUUGAAGAUUUAGAAGCACAUGUCUGUGAGUUUUACAUACAGACGCUCAGGCCUGGGGUUUGGACUCACAGAGACUCAAAUGCUUUAAGAUUUCUGCCCAAACUGCGUUCAAGCAGAAGCAAGGCAACUUUAGCUGCCUCCUUGUCAGGCACGCCGGGAGGAGCUCUGCACAUUGGUGAGCAGGACACAGUGCUAGGCCUUUCCACACCUGACCAUGGGAGUUCCUACCAAGAGUCAGUGCAGAGCAUGACAGUGAGGAGGUGGGUAGGGACAGCAGUGUGGUCGGGACGACUGUUGGUACCACAGGACAUUCACUACAGCCAGGACUGUUGGCACUGCGCUGGGGUCUAUAUUAGUGUCUCAUGGACGGGCCAGCCAAGGCCUGAAGCAAUCGAGGAAGAAGAGCUGGCUUGGGGCAGGCAGAGGGCUCGGUUAGGAACAAAGAACCACCUUGGGCGGGGAUAGAGAAGCUGCUCAGGGUUUUAAUCGGCAAAGUGACUCCACCUGGCAUUGCUGCCGCCUUGUGAAGUACAUUGUCCGUCCGAGAGGGAAGGACACCAGGGGACACAUGGCAAGGCUUUGUGUCAUGACUGUUUAAAAAUAGCACACCUUCAACAGAGCGUCAAAAUCAGAACGGGAGGUCCGCAGAGCCAAAAGUCACACUGGAGGAGAAUAAGACCUCAGUGACUUUUUAACAAUGGGGCAUGGAGUCGAUGCUGGAAGCCCAGGUAGCUAAAGGUGAGGCGCUGAGGCUGGGAGUUCUAGAAGAGGGUUGCUGUCUCACUUGCCGAUGGCCCAGCAGAAUGUGUCCACAUGAACCCAGGGAUAGCUUCCUUAGAAGGAAAGGCAGCACUCUCCAUGUGUGGGUUUGGAUUUGAAUUAGAAGUGAGUCUGGUGACGUGGCAGACUCAGACAGCAGAGCCGGACGUUCCAAAGUGUCUGGGGGUGCACGGUCUCUGGCCGCUGAGGCUACCCUUUGCUCCCCGCCGUUCUUUGCAGACUCAGUCCGGAAGGAGUGUCCUCCCGUCGUGGGCACUCCAUUCUGAUACCAGGGAUGGCUUGGAGCCCGUGCCUCAGUGAGUGCUCUGUCACUGCACUAGGUCCCCAGCCAGAAGCCACACGUUCGAGCCCCAGCAUCCACUCGGAGUUGGUAGUAGUGCUCCAGGGGAGGCCGAGCACAAGUUGUUUUUGUUGGACCGACUCUGACCUCUGCCCUGGGGCACGGCUCACAUUUUUACUUCGCCUCUGAGCAGGAAGCAGGAUAGAUGCACAUCGGGGUUGAAGUUCUAAUGCUUUCUAGGGCUUGGGUGUGAUUGUGUUCUCAGUGUGCUUUCGUUGCAGUCAUCGAAAAGGAUUCUGGGGAAGGUAGGGCGAGAACUGUGAGCCUAGGCCAAGAGCUAUGAGCAUAGGUCGUAGGUGUGAGGGAGGAGCUCAGAUCCCUCUGAAGCAAGGGAGGCUGUGGGCCGGCCAUGAGCCCUUCACUCAACCUUUCAGCUCCUUUCCUCAGAUGGACAGACAGCUCCCCUCGAUUUGCCUUCAGGUUCCACGCACACCCUUUCUUGUUCAUUUCCAGAUGACGUAAUCUAUGGAGGACACACAUCAGUACUGCCUUUACUCUUUUUUUUUUUUUUUUUUUGGUUCUUUUUUUCGGAGCUGGGGACCGAACCCAGGGCCUUGCGCUUCCUAGGUAAGCGCUCUACCACUGAGCUAAAUCCCCAGCCCCCUGCCUUUACUCUUUAACGAUGACCAAACACCCAAACUUUGUAACAUUUCUUUUGAGGGGCAGGUGUCCUAAUAAAUUCGCAUGUAAGAAAUUCAGAUAUGAAGAGGUUAGGUCACUCACUCAAGCAAUAGAACAGGAAACAGCUCUUGGCCUGAUCAGUCCCUUAUACUUUUGAGGGCUGCAUGAAGUAUUAGUUUUAUAUGAUCAAACUUUAGUCUUGAUAAUAGGAUUGACAAUUAAGGGUUAAUUAAUAAUAAUGUGAUUGUUAAGUCCUCCUUAGAUACCCCAACACUUCCAAAGUGUGCUUUCCUAGUGCUUCAAACUGUAGAGGGGAAUUCUCGAGAUGUGUAGCUGCCAAAACCCUGUCCAAGGUGAUGGGGUCUGAUCCUAACACUUGGCGGGCGUCACUGGGGGGCCAGAGGACGUGCUGGAGUUGAAUUUGCCACCAAACAGGAUUGCAUGCAUGCCACCACAGCAUGGGCAGCAAGCAUUUCCUGCAUCAUUUCCUUGGAUAAGUGGGUCGAAAGUCCUUACCCUGUGAGUCCCUAGACCUUCUUGGUGGGUUUCAGGAAGCUGGCUCUCAAGACUCUCAACCCUAAAGUCUGAUUCCAACUGGAAUUGUGGCAUGGAUCACUUUGUGUGUGUGUGUGUGUGUGUGUGUGUGUGUGUGUGUGUGUGUGUGUGUGUCUUCACCACCAAGCACUGGCAAGAACAAAGUAUAAGCUUUACUCAAGAACAGCCUUGGUGGAGCAGUAAGGAUGGGGUUGUUCAGUUCUGACUUUCAGAAGUGACACAUGACAAGGAGUCACACAAAGGCAUCCAGCUGCUCUGAAGAAACCCUUGGGAUUGGACUGUGUGUGACCAGCCCUGUUUCCCUGUAGCACUUCCCCCGCCCCCUCACAGAACCAACACACUCUGGCUCUGUGGCAGACACACUUGUGCUGAUCAAACAUGAGCCUGCCACUUCAAGGACAACAGUGGACGCUUUUGAUGGCUAGUGACAAAGUUUUAGGUUUGAAGGAAAAAAAUUAGAACUUGGGGAGAACAAUUAUCUACUGCCACAGAACGUAGAAUUUCCUAUGGUGCUGGUAACAUUUCAAUGUUACAUAUGAUAAGGUACCUUUGGGGACAUCACGAUGGGAUAUGUGAGCACCUGGAAAAUGCCCAGAUUCUGCAGCAGCAGUGCACAGCCCCCUAUGGCAUGGGCACUAUGCUUUUGUAGUACAGGAAGCCUUAUGAUUAUGGAAAGGGAAAAGACACAGGACAGAUGGACGGACAGACAGGCAGGCGCGCGCGCGGGCGCACACAAACACACACACACACACACACACACACACACACCUCUCCCUCAAACAACCCAAAGCCUCUAAAGGAGCCUAACUCUGUUAAGAAGGACUUAUUUGAAAAGGUUAUUACAACAUUUAUGUUAGCCAGGAUUUUCACUUGUUCAACUGAAGAGAAACAGAACAGACAGAAGGCGGCGGCGGACCCAGGAGCCUCUCUGUCCACUAUUAAGCUAAACAUGGCUUUCGCCCAACUCUAAAACAAGUCUGGGCCACUGAGACAGCUUGGCAGGUAGAAGGCAUUUGCCACCGAUCCUGACAAGCUGGGCUCAGUCCCUGGCAUCUACAUGGUGGAAGAAGAGAAUUCAUUUCUCAGAGAUUUCCUGACACACACAGAGACGAAACAAAAGUUAAAACUCCAUGCUUCUAUUUUUAUUGGUGUGUGCACGUGAGUGGAGGUCAGAGGGGGCCAUCAGGGUCUCCCUCAGUUCUCUCAUUGAACUUGAAGCUCUGGUUUGGCCAGACUAGAAUUCAGUAAGCCCCAGAGACCCCCUUGCCUCUGCUUCUCCAGAGCUGAGACUGCCAAAUCAAAAUAAUUUUUUACGGUGAUUUAUGGACACGUGUAAUUUGUUAACAUGGUUUCAUCGUUGUUACUUUAAAAGGAGUUACUAUGCCAGGGGUGGUGGCACAUGCCUUUACUCUCAGCCCUCUGGAGGCAGGCAGCUCAAUCUGUGAGUUUCAGACCAGCCAGGGCUACAUAGCAAACUGUCUCAAAUAUACAUACAUAUGUAUGAAUAUAUAUAUAUACACACACACACAUAUAUACACCUUAAAUAUUGAUGUAUGUUAACCAUAUGAGGGUUCUCAAAAAAUGUUAAUGAUGAGUCUAAGGCCGAAAUGUUGGCAGCACACUACUCGCUACUCUCUCAUACUCCCUAUGGGGAAGUCAGAGGACAUCUAAGUUAAAAAUGACUCAAACAGUCUACGCCUUUCUCUGUACAUUUCUUUUGUGGGAACACUGUUACCUAAAAACCAAAUAGCUAGUGAUGAUGAUGACACAAGUGGUGGGUUGUGGAGUGUAAGUCUGGGAUGUUAAACUGCAAAGAAAGACUGCUAACAGUCUCUGUCAGACUUCAGGAGAAGGGUGGGGUGGGACUAGCACAUGCCUAUGCAGGCACACAGGCACACGCACACACACAUCACACACACCUGCACGCACACGGACACACACACACACACACACACACACACACACACACACACACACACUUUUCACAAUGAUGAAAACAUUGCUCAGGAAAAAGCCAAAUCAUGCAAAAAGGUCUUUUUUGAUAGGCCGGUUCAAAUUUGAAAGCCACAUCCCCCAGACCAUUGGCCUUCCCUUCCUGCCACCCUCCCACCCCCCAACAGUCACCAGCCUGGGAGUCCGGCAUAGUUGGGAAGUCCAGGAUGUAGAGAUCCUGGUUCAUAAGGAUCAAACUGGGGCCUGAACUAACUGCAGCCAAUUUCUGCAACUUUAAGCAGAGACGAAAGAAAUAGGUACAACCAGGGAGACAUUACGUAAGUACGGAGGAGAAUCAGAAUAAUUUUUCUUCUCUGAAGAUCUUAAAACAACUUAAAAAAAUUUUUUUGUGGUAAAUAGUAGGUAUUUAUUUGAAAUGAAAAAAAUACUUAAGUACCUGGACUAUUGCAUUUAGCACGGGCUGCGACUGCCUACCUUUAUGCAUCAGACAGAGAUACAGUGAACACCCAGACCACAGACUGCACAUGGUAGGAAUUCCUCAGCCUUUACACAACCACCAGAGAAACAGAGAUCGGAUUUUGCAAUACAGUACAAAAGUCCACAAUCAAUCCAGUCUUAGCCAGUAUCUUCGGUUUACUUCUGUUGCUGUACAAACGAUUAGCCGUUACUAGGGCUUACAAGUUAAUGACAGGACAGAAAUAUACAUGGCACUGACACAAAAAGUCAGUUGUGUUAAUGGUCAUGCAACAAGUAAGCAAACUUGCUGAAAUUAAAAAUACUUUCUAAAAACAGCUUUAACAGCGUAAAUAUUUUAUACACAGUUGUUUACCAAAAACAAAAUGUAUUUAAAUGAUACAAAGCAAAAAUAAGUUUCUACCACCUUUAUACAUAAGAAAGUGCAAAAUAACUUAUCUAGAGUGUUUUGCUAUUCUCCAGAGGGCUGGCUGCUACGGGCAGCUACUUCUCGUCUUCAAAAGCAUGACGUCACACUUGCACACUACACUCGGGUGUGUGUUGAGUGCAUGGAUGAGCAGUGGGUGGAUGGGUGAAGGGUGAACAGAGGUCAGGCUGGAGCCCUGUGAGGUACUUAGAAAAAGAAUGCAGACCACGGGAAGGUGGACACACAUCGUGUAUAUUGGUAAGCAGAUUGGCACAGAACACGGGGGAUACAUAGCCAGACGAGCAAUGGAGCCCAGUGCCCGGGGGGAGGGAGGAGUGGCUCUGUGAUUUCUGCAGAAGUGAAAAGAAAACAAAAACCAAAAGCUGGUGGAAACAAGACA
This is a non-coding RNA of Rattus norvegicus (Norway rat), 7821 nucleotides long. The record is from RefSeq and is a predicted model, not a curated record. NCBI's taxonomy places the organism in Eukaryota, Metazoa, Chordata, Mammalia, Rodentia, Muridae.